Molecule: ribosomal RNA, 253 nt
Filed under: uncultured bacterium
Lineage: Bacteria
Description: partial 16S ribosomal RNA
Rfam family: Bacterial small subunit ribosomal RNA
Source: RNAcentral
UACGGAGGGGGCUAGCGUUGUCCGGAAUCAUUGGGCGUAAAGCGCGUGUAGGCGGCUGAGUAAGUCUGCUCUGAAAGCCCGGGGCUCAACCCCGGGAGGCGGGUGGAUACUGCUCAGCUCGAGUCCGGAAGAGGAGUGUGGAAUUCCCGGUGUAGCGGUGAAAUGCGCAGAUAUCGGGAAGAACACCCGUGGCGAAGGCGGCUCUCUGGGACGGUACUGACGCUGAGACGCGAAAGCGUGGGGAGCGAACAGG